RNAcentral lists this unclassified non-coding RNA (105 nucleotides) under Trichophyton tonsurans. Lineage: Eukaryota; Fungi; Ascomycota; Eurotiomycetes; Onygenales; Arthrodermataceae. The record is from RNAcentral.
UCCGGGGUUGAUCCAGGCGCGCUCUACGGUCGAUUUGGAGGCGAUCGGUGUAUGUACCUCGCCGCCGCCGGACCCCUAUGGACCCUCCAAUAAUCGAGUGGUCCC